This is a non-coding RNA of Theobroma umbraticum, 899 nucleotides long. Lineage: Eukaryota; Viridiplantae; Streptophyta; Magnoliopsida; Malvales; Malvaceae. The record is from RefSeq and is a predicted model, not a curated record.
UUUUUUUUUUGAAAAGUGAAUAUAGAUAGACGUUGCUGUUGAAAUUAUAAUGGAAUUACUUAAUUAUUCGAUUGCUAUAUAAGAUUAAUAACAACAAUAACAAUGAAUGUAAAGCACUAAAUGGUAUUCCUAUUCCUAUUAGUAUCUGUUUGACUUGCUACACUACUGCAGUUGUAUGUUAGCUAAUACUAUAGCAUAGCUAACACACAUUCAGCCUCUGAGGGUACUCUUGGAUGAGGUUAUUUAAGGAGCCUAUCUCCUUGUCUCGGAUAAAAAUGCGACAUUACUUUUAAGAUAUUUGAGGGUGUCAAACAGCUAAUUCACAACCUAGAAUACCUGAUUACAAAGAUGCAUAGGAAAGUGAUAUCCAUGCAUUCUCUAACCUUACACCCCCAUUCUUUGACAUCCCACGUCUCUUCCUUUGGUAUUUUUAUCCGUAUCUUUUGACUGAAAUUUUCAAGGCAAAGAAAAACAAGAUGCACGCUAGCUAUUCAAGUGCUGCAAGUAUAUAUCAGGUACAAUUAGCAAAUGCGAAACAGCUUGGUGAUCAUUACACCUCCAAACAUCCAAAGGAAAAGCCUCCUGCUGAAUCAAGUUGAUUGCUUUCCCAUGUAAAAAUGCAAAAAGGAAAAAGGAAAAAAAAAAUGCUUUUCCUGUGUGAUUGCCGGACAUUGUAUGUUUAACUGUGUCUUAUUCUAAAGCAACGAAAAUGACUCUUACCUAUUUGCCUUUCACUUUCAGUGAUGUGACGAAUUGUAUGACACUAGGAUGACAAUAAAGCAGUUCUAUCUAUGAAUUCAUAAUCGAAUAUGGAUACACUGAACUUAUGUGCAUAUGACGCUUGAGAAAAUUUUGUAGAAUAAGUAUGAUUUGAAUGAAAUUUUAAAUUCCUUGUGCCA